GCGAACGCUGGCGGCAGGCUUAACACAUGCAAGUCGAGCGGGCGUAGCAAUACGUCAGCGGCAGACGGGUGAGUAACGCGUGGGAACGUACCUUUUGGUUCGGAACAACACAGGGAAACUUGUGCUAAUACCGGAUAAGCCCUUACGGGGAAAGAUUUAUCGCCGAAAGAUCGGCCCGCGUCUGAUUAGCUAGUUGGUGAGGUAACGGUUCACCAAGGCGACGAUCAGUAGCUGGUCUGAGAGGAUGGUCAGCCACAUUGGGACUGAGACACGGCCCAGACUCCUACGGGAGGCAGCAGUGGGGGAUAUUGGACAAUGGGGGCAACCCUGAUCCAGCCAUGCCGCGUGAGUGAUGAAGGCCCUAGAGUUGUAAAGCUCUUUUGUGCGGGAAGAUAAUGACGGUACCGAAAGAAUAAGCCCCGGCUAACUUCGUG
RNAcentral lists this ribosomal RNA (434 nucleotides) under uncultured bacterium. RNAcentral describes it as "partial 16S ribosomal RNA". It matches the Rfam family "Bacterial small subunit ribosomal RNA", at positions 29 to 507 of the family's 1533-position model. The record is from RNAcentral.